RNAcentral lists this ribosomal RNA (247 nucleotides) under uncultured bacterium. RNAcentral's name for it is "partial 16S ribosomal RNA". It matches the Rfam family "Bacterial small subunit ribosomal RNA", at positions 1254 to 1500 of the family's 1533-position model. The record is from RNAcentral.
ACCGCGAGGUGGAGCAAAUCUCAAAAAGACCGUCCCAGUUCGGAUCGCAGGCUGCAACCCGCCUGCGUGAAGUUGGAAUCGCUAGUAAUCGCGGAUCAGCAUGCCGCGGUGAAUACGUUCCCGGGCCUUGUACACACCGCCCGUCACACCAUGAGAGUCGGGAACACCCGAAGUCCGUAGCCUAACCGCAAGGGGGGCGCGGCCGAAGGUGGGUUCGAUAAUUGGGGUGAAGUCGUAACAAGGUAGC